UAGGGAAUCUUCGGCAAUGGACGAAAGUCUGACCGAGCAACGCCGCGUGAGUGAAGAAGGUUUUCGGAUCGUAAAACUCUGUUGUUAGAGAAGAACAAGGACGUUAGUAACUGAACGUCCCCUGACGGUAUCUAACCAGAAAGCCACGGCUAACUACGUGCCAGCAGCCGCGGUAAUACGUAGGUGGCAAGCGUUGUCCGGAUUUAUUGGGCGUAAAGCGAGCGCAGGCGGUUUCUUAAGUCUGAUGUGAAAGCCCCCGGCUCAACCGGGGAGGGUCAUUGGAAACGGGGAGACUUGAGUGCAGAAGAGGAGAGUGGAAGUCCAUGUGUAGCGGUGAAAGGCGUAGAGAUAUGGAGGAACACCAGUGGAGAAGGCGGCUCUCUGGUAUGUAACUGACGCUGAGGCUCGAAAGCGUGGGGAGCAAACAGG
RNAcentral lists this ribosomal RNA (429 nucleotides) under Gemmatimonadota bacterium. Its description in RNAcentral is "Gemmatimonadetes bacterium partial 16S ribosomal RNA". It matches the Rfam family "Bacterial small subunit ribosomal RNA", at positions 355 to 776 of the family's 1533-position model. Lineage: Bacteria; Pseudomonadati; Gemmatimonadota. The record is from RNAcentral.